UGUUUGUGAUGAGGACAGUCUUUGAGCAUCCCCUUGAACCUCUCCCAAGCUAAGUAUAAAGACUCCCCCGCUUUCUAUUUGAAGGCAACUAUCUCACUUCUAAUUUU
This 107-nucleotide small nucleolar RNA is filed under the name Nicotiana sylvestris (wood tobacco). RNAcentral describes it as "Plant small nucleolar RNA R71". It matches the Rfam family "Plant small nucleolar RNA R71". From Rfam's summary of the family: R71 is a member of the C/D box family of snoRNAs containing the C (UGAUGA) and D (CUGA) box motifs. The record is from Rfam by way of RNAcentral. Lineage: Eukaryota; Viridiplantae; Streptophyta; Magnoliopsida; Solanales; Solanaceae. RNAcentral also lists the same sequence under 1 other name.